UUCAUAGCAGCAUGAUAAUGGACUAAUAC
This 29-nucleotide non-coding RNA is filed under the name Homo sapiens (human). The record is from RNAcentral. Lineage: Eukaryota; Metazoa; Chordata; Mammalia; Primates; Hominidae.